CUACGGGUGGCUGCAGUGGGGAAUAUUGGACAAUGGGGGAAACCCUGAUCCAGCAAUGCCGCGUGUGUGAAGAAGGCCUGCGGGUUGUAAAGCACUUUCGGUUGGGAGGACUGCUUCUAGCACUAAUAUUGUUGGAAGUUGACGUUACCUUCAGAAGAAGCACCGGCUAACUCCGUGCCAGCAGCCGCGGUAUACGGAGGGUGCAAGCGUUACUCGGAAUUACUGGGCGUAAAGCGCGCGUAGGCGGCUAGAUCAGUCGGGUGUGAAAGCCCCGGGCUUAACCUGGGAACUGCAUCCGAUACUGUCUAGCUUGAGUACAGGAGAGGAGAGUGGAAUUCCACAUGUAGCGGUGAAAUGCGUAGAUAUGUGGAGGAACACCAAUGGCGAAGGCAGCUCUCUGGCCUGAUACUGACGCUGAGGUGCGAAAGCGUGGGGAGCAAACAGGAUUAGAUACCCCCGUAGUC
This 464-nucleotide ribosomal RNA is filed under the name uncultured bacterium. Its description in RNAcentral is "partial 16S ribosomal RNA". It matches the Rfam family "Bacterial small subunit ribosomal RNA", at positions 339 to 795 of the family's 1533-position model. The record is from RNAcentral.